GACGAACGCUGGCGGCGUGCUUAACACAUGCAAGUCGAACGGAAAGGCCCUGCUUUUGUGGGGUGCUCGAGUGGCGAACGGGUGAGUAACACGUGAGUAACCUGCCCUUGACUUUGGGAUAACUUCAGGAAACUGGGGCUAAUACCGGAUAGGAGCUCCUGCUGCAUGGUGGGGGUUGGAAAGUUUCGGCGGUUGGGGAUGGACUCGCGGCUUAUCAGCUUGUUGGUGGGGUAGUGGCUUACCAAGGCUUUGACGGGUAGCCGGCCUGAGAGGGUGACCGGCCACAUUGGGACUGAGAUACGGCCCAGACUCCUACGGGAGGCAGCAGUGGGGAAUAUUGCACAAUGGGCGGAAGCCUGAUGCAGCAACGCCGCGUGCGGGAUGACGGCCUUCGGGUUGUAAACUGCUUUCGCCUGUGACGAAGCGUGAGUGACGGUAAUGAGUAAAGAAGCACCGGCUAACUACGUG
This 468-nucleotide ribosomal RNA is filed under the name uncultured bacterium. RNAcentral's name for it is "partial 16S ribosomal RNA". It matches the Rfam family "Bacterial small subunit ribosomal RNA", at positions 28 to 507 of the family's 1533-position model. The record is from RNAcentral.